GUCCAUGGCCAAGCCACCCUGAACAAGCUCAAUGUCUGAUCUUGGAAGUUAAGCAGGGUCAGGCCUGGUUAGUAGUACUUGGAUGGCAGACCACCUAGGAAGACCAGGUGCUGUAGGCA
Molecule: ribosomal RNA, 119 nt
Filed under: Pteropus alecto (black flying fox)
Lineage: Eukaryota; Metazoa; Chordata; Mammalia; Chiroptera; Pteropodidae
Source: RNAcentral